AUCUCCAAUUCUGUAACUCCAGUAUCAAAGUAAACACCAAAACAAAAUCUUCCACCUUCAGCUGGAACCAAAUGCUGCUUCCAGUCUGUUAACCAGCAGAAGUGUAACUGAGAGAAGUGAAACUACAGACUUAAGAGGAGAUGGAGAGAUUCAGGGAGGAGCUGAGCUGUUACUGAACUAUAGAAGAGAGAGAAACUUCAAACCACAAACAUUACCUUCAUUCAACAUGCUGUCACUGGACUAUUAUGGACUUUCUCUGAUGGUUGUCACUCUUCUAACAGGUGUCAGCUGUGAAGAUCUCAGUCCAGUCAAAGAUGAACAGUCCAGUUUAGAAGACAGCUCUGUUACUCUGUCCUACAGAUACAGCAAGAAAGCAAGUGGUGCUGAUGAGUUUUAUUGGUAUCGACAAGAUCCAGGAAAGCCACCAGAGUUCCUCACCUCUCACUCAGGAACAGGAGGAAUAUUAAUGAGUCCAAAGUCUGGACUGUCUGUUACAGUGAGUGAGGAAAACACUCACAUGAAUGUUCAGAUCUCCUCUGCUGCAGUGACAGACUCUGCUCUGUACUACUGUGCUGUGAGGCCCACAGUGACAGCAAACCCACAGUCUCUGUACAAAAACACAAGCUGA
Non-coding RNA from Scatophagus argus, 628 nucleotides. The record is from the annotation of a RefSeq genome assembly. NCBI's taxonomy places the organism in Eukaryota, Metazoa, Chordata, Actinopteri, Scatophagidae.